This 447-nucleotide ribosomal RNA is filed under the name Pseudomonas aeruginosa. Its description in RNAcentral is "bacterial SSU rRNA". It matches the Rfam family "Bacterial small subunit ribosomal RNA", at positions 30 to 471 of the family's 1533-position model. The record is from RNAcentral. Lineage: Bacteria; Pseudomonadati; Pseudomonadota; Gammaproteobacteria; Pseudomonadales; Pseudomonadaceae.
AUUGAACGCUGGCGGCAGGCCUAACACAUGCAAGUCGAGCGGAUGAAGGGAGCUUGCUCCUGGAUUCAGCGGCGGACGGGUGAGUAAUGCCUAGGAAUCUGCCUGGUAGUGGGGGAUAACGUCCGGAAACGGGCGCUAAUACCGCAUACGUCCUGAGGGAGAAAGUGGGGGAUCUUCGGACCUCACGCUAUCAGAUGAGCCUAGGUCGGAUUAGCUAGUUGGUGGGGUAAAGGCCUACCAAGGCGACGAUCCGUAACUGGUCUGAGAGGAUGAUCAGUCACACUGGAACUGAGACACGGUCCAGACUCCUACGGGAGGCAGCAGUGGGGAAUAUUGGACAAUGGGCGAAAGCCUGAUCCAGCCAUGCCGCGUGUGUGAAGAAGGUCUUCGGAUUGUAAAGCACUUUAAGUUGGGAGGAAGGGCAGUAAGUUAAUACCUUGCUGUUUU